GUUACAAUCUGCAUUAAGGGUGUUUUUAACAUCUCUCCUGUCUCUCAGCAGUUUGUGUAGCUGGGUGGUUUUAGUGAUCAGGUCAGAUUUGGAAAACAUGGUCAUGGUUAGGCGAGAGAUUGCACAGGGACCUCAUGUAAUGUUACCUGGGGCAUAAGCAUAAGUAAUAUUUCCACAGGAGAAAGUCCAUCCUUUAGGAAGAUAAACAUUGUAGUGGUAACUCAUAACUUGGUGAGUUUUGGUACAAUUCAUAGUGGUGCUUAGGGCUCUACAAUUCGUGGUAUUUUUCCACCAUGUGGGGCAAAACAGGGAUUCAGUAUUAGGGUCUCUUGAACAAUUACAUGAAAAAGACCAACAUAGUUCAGCGCCUGUCACAUUAAUUGUCUUCAGGGCUAGAGGAGGCUUGCCUAUGAGUGGGUUGAAGGCAUA
This 429-nucleotide long non-coding RNA is filed under the name Pelobates cultripes (western spadefoot toad). Lineage: Eukaryota; Metazoa; Chordata; Amphibia; Anura; Pelobatidae. The record is from RNAcentral.